Cervus elaphus (red deer) is the source of this 7234-nucleotide long non-coding RNA. RefSeq lists it as uncharacterized. The record is from RefSeq and is a predicted model, not a curated record. NCBI's taxonomy places the organism in Eukaryota, Metazoa, Chordata, Mammalia, Artiodactyla, Cervidae. The transcript is spliced from 3 exons.
CAGGGUUGAUUUCUUUUAGGAUUGACUUGUUUGAUCUUCCUGCAGUCCAAGGGACUCUCAGAAGUCUUCUCCAGCAACAGAAUAUGGCUACAGAAAAUGAAAUUUAACCAUCAUUCUUUGCUUGUGCAAAUACACAAGUGCAUGCAUGCUAGUGAUUUUUUAGGGAGAAAGUUGACUCAGCAUCAUGGUGGUGGGGAGUGGAUUAUUUUUAUUUCAAGGAGCAAGGUAUUUUUAAUGCUGAAACUAAAGCAGAAUUAGAAACUUGUGAAAAUAUAGACUAAUUAUUAGAAUUGUUGUCAAUUACUCUUAUUAAUCAGGUUAAUCAAUUAAAACAAAUUCAGUUAUUAUAAAUAAAAAUUUCAUCUCUCCUACUAAUCAGUUAAAAUUCAUUUCCAUGGGCCAGAUUAAUUAGGUACAACUAAUAAUUAUUAAGCAUCUCAUCUAUGCAAAGUUUUGUUCUGUGCACUGUUGGAGAAAUAAUGAGAAAUUAAAAAGCAGUUCUUGAUAUUGUUGUAGAGAUUGUCUGAAGAAGGAAUAAGAAGAAAUACAAACAACUAUGAUAAAAGUCACUAUAUAUUCAUUGCCAGUAACAAGAUAGAAAGUGCUGAGGAUGGCAGUUUUUACAGGAAAAAACGUAAAAGAUGGAGUUUAAAGGACUCACAGUGAUUCCAUAUGAGCAUUAAAAAGAUGAGGUUUCAGAAGCUUCUGUCAGUGUUUGACUUGAAUACAAGAUAGAGAUAAGUUCUGAAGUGUAUUUAAGCUUCACAUUUUUGUGAUUUGAAACCAGGAAAAACUUUUGAGUAUGUAUUUCUUUUGUUUUUUUAUUUAAAAAAAUACUUUUUUGCUAGAUCUCAAACUUUCAUAAUCAGAAAAUUAAAUUUAUGUUGUAUCUUGCAUUGGAUUUUUAAAUAGUAAGUGCUAAUUGAGUAAUUAUUCUAGGCCUGCUGAUCUUAUCUGCUCAUUUAUAAUUCAUCUCAGAGCACAGAACCAGAUAUUUAUCAUUGCUUUUUUUCUUUAGGAAAUAUGGACUCAAGCAUGAAAUUAAAAAAAAAAAAUCGCUGAGUCAACAUGGAAGUUUAAAUUAAUGCCCUGUUAUUAUUCUUUUUUUUUCCUUCUAUUAUUAUUCUUAAAAAGGAUCACCACCCUAAGUAAUAUUCAUGGUAAAUGCCUUGCAUGGAGGAGCCCUGUUCAUAUGGAAAUACAUCUUUAUCUCAUGAGAAAAUCAACUCCUCAACAUCCUCUCCUUCUCCAAACAAACAGACUAAUUUCAGUUUCUUCCCUUUGCCACAAAUAUUCCCUGCAUGUUCUUUACCAUUUACCUGGGCAAAAUCUGUAGUUUUCAAGCUCUUUUAAGUAGCAGAUGAGGCAGAGCUGUGCCUGGGCUUUCAGUUUAAGCUCAAGUGGCUCCCAGAGUUCAGGUCAGUGACCCAAUUCAGAGCAAUUCGACUAAUCACCUUUUAAAAAUAAUUUUAUUUCUUUAUUUAUUUUAUCUUCAGCCGUGCUGGGUCUUUGCUGCGGCAUGGGCUUUUCCUUAGGGUGGCUACUUUUGUUGCAGAGCAAGGGCUGUAGGCUGAGGGCUUCAGAAGAUGCGGCCUGUGGGCUCAGCGGUUGUGGUUCCCAGGCACAGGCUCAAUAAUUUUGACACAUGGGCUUAGUUGCUCUGUGGCAUGUGGGAUCUUCUCAGACCAAGGAUCAAACGUGUGUCCACUGCAUUGGCAGGCAGUUUUUUUUACCACUGAGCUAUCAGGGAAGCCCUCAUUUAAUCAUAUGUUGUCUUUAUUUCAAGUUUAUGCAGAAACCAGCAAACUGCUCUGGCUGGGCCGGUGUCCUUGUGCCUUGAAGGGCCCUACGCUUGUUUCAGGGCUCUGCUGACACCAGCUGGAGAUUCUUAACACUUUUCAGCUGGGAACCCUGUAUUGUCAAAUCUUUCUGGGCUCCCCUUACUGUGGCGGCAGUUUCAAAACUGGAUGAAAGUACCAAAGUACUGUCAUUUUUUGGCACGAAGAGGAAAAUAACAAAUUUUUGGAGACCCAGUCAGCUGACAUGCCAAAUUUUCCCUGGCACAUUCCAAUUAAGAGAAAAUAUUUAUAUGUGCAGUAGUCAAGGAAGAUACAGGCAGAUUUGAUCAGUUCAACAAGUACUUCUGAUAGCCUGAAGGAAAAUGAUUCUCUGUGUAAAACUAAGAUCAUUUUCCCAGCCCUAUACCAGAUCUCUUCUUCUUUUGUUGUUUUAUCUGUUUGCUUCUCUUUUUAAAAUAUUUAUUCUUUUAGUUUGAUGAUAGUUGCUUUACAAUGUUGCGUUGGUUUCAAAAAGGAUCCCGUCAUCAUUUUAUAUAUAUAUAUGUGUGUGUGUGUGUGUGUGUGUGUGUGUGUGUGUGUGUGUGUUUUCAAAAAGAAAUAUUGAAGAGAAUAGAAUGGAAAUUGGUUCAUAAGCUCAUGUUGCUUCCAUUAGCUGCACAUUCAUCUUCAAUGAAAACCACUGACUAGAGCUGAGCAGAUAGAAACUGAUCCUGAUGUGAUAAGCCCUUGAACAACCAGCCUGCUCUAUCAUCAUUAAUGGGUUUUGUAAAUUAGUAAAUUGCUUUUUUCAAAGUUUUUAUUAAGAAAAAUAUAUAUGAAUGUUGAAAUUGCCUUUGUAUCAACACCUUUAAAAACUCAUCUGUUGGUAUGUACCUUGCCAUAUUUCCUAAGGACACUUUUGUUGCAGAAAGUAUUCUUGCUCUGUUCUCACCUAAAUAUAAUAGCAAAAUAAAUAAAUAAAUAAAAGGCAAGAGAGUUAACUUGCUGUCUGUUUAGUUUGACUCCCCUGAUGUCAGAGUUAUGGUGGCAUGCAAAUAGGUUUCCCUGGAGAUGUAGUUAUUUCAGAGUGAUGGUUUUUCCUGACCAUGAACUGAAAGAUAUGGCAUCUUUUCUUAGACUGUAUAAAAAUUCACUUAGUCAUUGUUGCUGUUUAAAGUUUUAAUAUUUUUUUUAGUUGAUAAUAUAUGAUGGAGAAGCCUGCAGCUAUGAUUAUAUGGGCUCUUUUACCUACCUUUGCUGCAUGACAGUGAAGAGGCCAUUUUUAGAAAAGCACAGAAGCGUGUUAUGCAGUACCUUCUGUAGCAGCAAACCCACUUAGAUUACAAAUCUGUUCGAGAACUGCAUUUUAAGAAGCAUGUGUUCCAAUUUAACUUCCUAGAUUUUGAUAAAGUGCUGUCUUUACUAUUGCUGAAUAUCUACUUUCAUAAUAAAGCAGGUAUGAAUUGAUGCCCAUGUAGCCUCCCCUGCCUCCUCUGCAUAGGGAUGAGAAAGAGGGGUACAGUGCAUAGUUACAUACUUCUUGAUACACUAUGACCUGAACAUUCAAUGUGAAAAAGAUCCCUAUGCUGUUUUCCCAUAUACCAUGUUUAGAUAUGUAAGGAGGUGUUCAGUAACUGUGUUAUCAAGGACUAGACUUUAGUAACAUCUUACUAGCAAUUUUGUAAGCAAUUUACUUAGCUUCUAAAUAAAGGAACUGCUGUAUUUAAGUGUUUGACACAUAAAGAGAUGCAUAGUUAAGACAUUUACUUCAAGAUCUAGCAGACCACCCCUCUUUGACUGAACUCCAUGGUAGAGCAAUGGUGGCCCUGUGAAGAAUAUCCACGUUAGUGAAUUUGUUUUUCUUUGAUUAGUAGAAUCCUCAAGAAACCAAAUAUGGAAUACUAUAAGAGAGCAUUUUAGGCAAUAUAUCCUCUUAAAGUUCUAGAAUUCUAGAGUUGCCUGUAUUUUCAUAAUAUAAUUAAGCAAAUAUUUUUAAAUAUUUUAAACAAUAUUAAAUUUAAUAUAUGAAUGAAAUGCAAUGUGAAUGAGCAUGAGUAAAUAUGAGUAAAUAUUUUAAAGAAAUCAUAUAAAUGUGCAAUAUAAAUUAUGUUAUAUGUAUAUUAGUACAAUUUUAUUUUUUAGGGGGAACCAAUACUAUCAUGGUUUUUUCAAAAUUAUUUUGGCAGAGAUUGAGACCUUGAAUUUUUCUAUCUUCAAAUGAUAAAGAGAGCAACGUCUUUAAAUUCAUGCAGUUUGGAUUCUCAGGUAAAUUAUAAACAUGAACAGCCAGGAAUUAAAGAGAAACUCAAAAUCUUUGGUCAGAAAGUGAUCUUAAAAAAUUUAAAUAUACUUUUCAUAGCUUCAAAGCAGACAAUUUCAGGUCCUUGCCAUUGGAUAUGGGUGAAUAUCAUUCAUGAUGUAGGACUUUCAUAGUCACAGUUUGAAAGAACUCUUGCAGAAAAUGUAAAGUUUCCAUUUUAUCCAAUAAAUUUAAGCAUCUUACAGCAAAGGAAGUUCAUGAGUGGUGGUUUCUGGACUGCUGAGAUGAGAGAGUUGUAGCCACAUGUAUGCACAGGAAGCCUCUAGGCUCCUCUAUACGUGUACCUGUGUCUUAGACAAGAUGGAAUAAUCAGACCUCAAAAGCCCUAAUGGACAGUAUUUUCUUUUCUGGAUUCCUCUUUAUAUAAAUGUGUCCUUUAAAAGUUGAUUUGGAUCAGAGUUGUGUUUUCUAGCUUAUUUAAUCUCCUGAAAUUGGAGAUUGCUAUUUAACCCUAUGACAGAUGGAGACAACCUGUCUCAGCCUUCAAAGAUGAAAUGUGAAUGAGCACAAGUGAGUAAAUAUGAGACUAAUUGAAGUGGACUGACUGAAGGACCAAGGAAGGAUGCAUUCCUGGCGCUCCUCAGACUCCAGCUUUGAAGCCAAUCACCAGUCUGUAAAUGACCCCACGAACCUACAGCGGAAGGGGUUAGAAGGUUACUUAAACACACAGUCCUUUAUAAGUCUAUUAGAAACACCUUUAGGCCUUAGUAUCUCUGAAUAUGUCUGGUCUGUCUUAUCAGUUAUAAAGUAAGAAUUAAAGAAUACUGAUUUUAGGAAGAUCUCUGCAAUUUUACGUUAUUCAGAUAAAAACUUUUAGUGUAGUACAAUCAAAUGUUAAGUAACUGACUAGACAGCCGUGGUAGCAUUGCAGACCUUCCACCUUCUCACCUGAAGUAUCAAUAUGCCGUUUUGUUCCUUCUGCAACAAUAUUUGCCUCCUAGGAAAAUAAGAAAACAGCCAAAUAAUGAAGCAACGCUGCAAACAGUAUGAUUCAAAGUCCAGUUUAUAAACUGUUGCAUUUCAUAAACAUGUGUUAAAACAAUGAAUAAGAGAAACAGUUGUGUUAACCGGGGCCACAAAUUUAAAACGCUAGAAGGACCAAGAAGAUUCUACAUGGGGAGAAAGUUGAUUUACACACACUGUCUAUGUCAAUAGUGAGGACUAUAGCAAAUUGGACAUGUAUGUUCCUUUAUAAGUAUGUGGGCCCAGGAAUGCUAGAUUUUCUGUGUUUUUAUCUAAAUUUGUAUGCAAAAGAUAUCAAUUGCUAAAUGUAGGUUCAGAAUUUUUAAAAAAACCCUCUAUGGAACAAACCACACACACACAGACAAACACAUGUUUUCAAGAGGCAUUUGGCUCUGAGGCAACCAGCUUGCAAGUUCUGAUCAAAUGUAUAAGUUCAUGCACAGAUAUAAAACUCUAUGGGUAACAGGCAUGUGAGAGAUGCAUGUUUAACUGAGUGGAACAUAAUCUGCAGAGGUACAGACUUUGGUUUUCAAAUGUAUAACACUCAUUUUUUAUUGUUGAAUUUUCAGAAGUCAAAUUAAAGCUAUAUUAGACAUACUCAGCUAUGCAAACUAGAACUUAGCUAUUUCAGAAAGCAAUAUUAAUGCUAGAGAAAAUAAGUGCUAAAUUAAUCUGAAAUAUUUUUCACAAUUCAGUUAAGCCACACUUAUUGAGUAUCCAGUUUAAAAGGAAUUGAAGAGGUGAUUGAAAUGGAGUUCCUAACCAAAGUAGUUGUUAAUCCAGUGGAUGAGAAAGACUAGCUUUAAUAUAGCACAGAUAAAAGCAAAUGUACAGAUGUCACGAGAGAGAGAAGAAAUGACCUCCUUUGUGCCUUCAUAGUACAAAGGAAGGAAAGAUCAAUUCUUUGCAGACAGGAAAGAUCAAGGAAAGCAUCCUGAAGGAAGUGCCAUUUCAGGUGUGUCUGAGAGUAUGAAUCAUUGCAAGUUUUCACAUUCCUGGGCUGAACAAUAGUAAAUGGUUUCUCCUGACUGGAGCAUAGAGGAAUCAGAGAGGGGGUGAGUGGGAGGCUAACUUGCAACAGGACUGCAGAGGGCACUUUGGGGAUUUUAUUGUAUAGAAAGAAGAGAUCCGAGGGCUUUUAAUAGGUGCAGUCUCUUUGUUAGAAGUUAGUGUUGGUACAUUGUAAAACAUGGAUUAGAGAUGGAAAAAAAAUGAGACUGACAACAGAAAGAUUAAUUAGGUGGCUAUUUGAAUAGUGUAGACAGCAAACAGUGAGAACUUGAGCUAUGCAGAGACAGCAGGACCUUUGAGACCAUGGAUGUGGGUGUCAAACUGUAUGACAAUUCAGGGAACUGUUUUCUCUUUCUUGACAACACUGGCAGUGAAAUAAUUGGACCUAGAUAUUAGUUUUUCUUUUUUUUCUCACUUUGUCUGCUCAGCAUUCUUUCUGAAUUUCAUUCUAACCAACUGAAUAAGGGAAAAAUGGUAAAACAGUGGGUAUUUGGAUUUUCCUACGUAGUCAAAAACAAGUUCUAUUUCAGUGUCCGGGCAUAUAUUCUUUUAUGAAUGAAAUCUAUUGAGAAGCAUGAGCAAAAAGAUAGGAAAUAUUUUGUUCUACUUUUAUUAUAGACUCUAAAGUUGGAUAACUGAUAAAUUUCAAAUGCACACACAGAUAAAGGUUAAAAUUCAUGAUAACAUAGAUUACAAAAACAAAGACAAGGAUUAAAAUUUUCAGAGCUAACUUUGAAAUGGCAAAAUGAAACAUGAAGAUGAAAACACAGUGAGGCAAUAUAAUUUUCUAAUCACCAUACCUUCUUAGUGAUGGUGUCCCCCUGUAAGUAUUUCUUAGGAAAUCAAGACCUUUCACAUGAAUGGAGUAUACAAUCCAGAGACAGUUGAUAAAAUGAAAAUAUUAUUUAUAACACUUUAAAAAGAAAUCUAGUCCCUGUCUUUUCCUUAUGAAAUGGAAGUAUAAAACAUCUGGUAAAAUUAAGGUCUCUAAAGAUAGUCUAGUCAUAUUCAGAGAGAAUAUCUGUAUGGAGCAUGCUAUAAUUUGGCCAUGUUAAUUGCUGCUGCUGCUGCUAAGUCACUUCAGUCGUGUCCGACUCUGUGCGACCCCAUAGACGGCAGCCCACCAGGCUCCCCUGUCCCUUGGAUUCUCCAGGCAAGAACA